Ornithorhynchus anatinus (platypus) is the source of this 2158-nucleotide long non-coding RNA. RefSeq lists it as uncharacterized. The transcript is spliced from 4 exons. The record is from RefSeq and is a predicted model, not a curated record. NCBI's taxonomy places the organism in Eukaryota, Metazoa, Chordata, Mammalia, Monotremata, Ornithorhynchidae.
GGAGAAGACAGGGGCGGAGAUGUAGAUCUGCGUGUCAUCUACGUAGAGAUGGUAGUCAAACCGGCCUGCCCGCCCACCUUGUUUGUGGAGUCCUAACCUCAAGGUAGUGAGGGGAAAAACAGACCGCUCUGUUGCUGACCCGCUAUCUUCGUGGAAGGGAAGAAAGAGGAGAAAAGGUAUCUGGUGGGCAGAGCAGAGUCCAACAUGUCCGAAGCUGUGCAAGCCUGAAGCCAAACAUGGUCGCAGCCAAGUAUGCCGGCCGCCGAGUAUGGCCUGAGGAUUGGCAACACGAUGGGGAUGGUGGACAUCCACCGCGUGGGACCCAGGGGCGGCUCGGGGUUACCGACCGGCCUGAUUAACGAGAAUCCCAGCGGACAUCCCGCUUCCACUGCCUGAGAUGGAGGGCCAAGGGUGGGAGCUGAUAGUGGAUGUUUUGUUGGGUCAGGAGCUCCGGCAAACUGUUCAUCUGCUGCUGCUGCUGCUCCUGAGACUAUGAGGCUGCAGAAUGGCAUGGGGUGUCCUUCCCCUCUCAUCCGAUCUACAUUCAGGUAGCUUGUUUCUUGGAAUGUGAAGGUGACCGAGGGGGAGGCCUCUCCUUCUGAGUAGGCGGCUGAAGGGCCCAAGCGUGACUGACUCCAUCGUGUACAGCAGAUACUGAAAACUGUCCUUCACCACCGGGUGCACUAGAAUGAUUGCAGCCUAGGUUUGAAUUUCUGCCUUAAAUCUGGGGUAAGUGAAGCAGUUUAGAGCGUUAAGAGGAUUUUUAUAUAUUAAUCGGAUUGUUUUUCCCCCAAACCAGUUUGGAUUGACACUGUGUUUAUGGCAUCUACCCAAUUAUCUCAGCGGCUCUCUAAUGCUGCAUCUUGAGGGGUGCAUCUUUCCUCUUCCAAGGAAGGCAGGGUGACCUAGUGCAAAGAGGAUGGAACUGAUCAGGGUCUAAUCUCAGCUCUGUCACAGAACUGAUGGGCACCAUUGGAUAAGUCACAGCCUGGAGGUAGUUCAGUUUUCUCAUCUGAAAAUGGGGAUAGGAUUCUAGCUUUCCCAGAUUAACCUGUGACUAUCCCAUGGCUUUGCACAAAAUAAGCGCUUGGUAAAUGCCACAGAAGUCUCUCCAGUUCAACCCCGCCACCGUAUUUCUGGCCGCCUGAGUGCAGACCUGGUGCCUGGCACCUCCCUCGGCUGGGUCCCCAAGGAGUCGGAUCGUCCGCCCUCUCUCCAAAGCGCCAGCAGGAGGAAGAGGUGGCGGAGCAGCUGGACCCCCUGGAUCCAGACUUAUUUAGAGGGUGGUGGGGAGACAUGGACUCAUCUAGGCAUCUGAAGAAACGAGUACCCUCACCCCACCCCACCCCCUCGUUCAGGGGAGCUGGAGUGGAGCCUGCCAGGUUCAGCCUCAUCCAGUUCCCACUCCUACUUUUCUCCAAGAUUCACAGUAGGUCCUGAAACCUCCAAGCAUUUAAUAGCACUCAGAUCAAAGUAACUUCUCUCUCUCUGUCUGAUGGGGAUUUUUGCCAGGGUUUCUUGGGCCCCUGCAGCAGAUUGACUCUUUGAUGUUACAGGCCCCAGCAAGCUUCCUACAGCUUCUGAUGGAUGCAGAUGGGAACACAUCACCCCCAUCUCCACCGGGAGCUGCCUUUAGCCUGCCCACACUGCACCUGGAAAGUUAAGCCAAGCCUGUGGGGCAGGAGCCCUAAGGAAACUAGUCCAAGCCUUGAAGGAAUCACGCCUGGAAACAGAAAGGACAACUGGAGCUAUGGCGUUCAACCCAUUGCAACACCACACCGGCAUGCAACUCUUUCUUCUGAUGUCAUGGAGUGCCAUAUGCAGAAGGGCUCAGAUGAGCAGCAUAAAUAAGUUUGGCCACUGGGAAUACAGUACAGGGGUGGGACAACAAUCCCAUAUUUGAAGACCUACUUCUAGCACCAGCAUCGAGAAUUCAAUCCAUCUCAGGACUCACAGAACCCAGGACAACUUGCGCGUUGAAGAGUGUAAAUGGAAGCAACAGUAAAUAGAUUAACAGAGGCUAAUACUGUGAUUGAUUGACAUUGGCAAUGGUUGGCAAAAAAAAAAAAAGAAGAAAAAAGAAAAAAAAGCUUCUUUUCUGAUAAAACUGUACAAAAACAAUUCACAGUAAAAUUUUUAGCUUUCCAUACCAGAAAAA